CCCCUAGAUGUUCUGGGCCGCACGCGCGCUACACUGAACAGUUCAACAAGUCUUAACCUUGGCCGAUAGGUCUGGGUAAUCUUUGAACGCUGUUCGUGGCUGGGAUAGACCUUUGCAAUUAUGGGUCUUCAACGAGGAAUUCCUAGUAAACGCAAGUCAUCAGCUUGCAUUGAUUACGUCCCUGCCCUUUGUACACACCGCCCGUCGCACCUACCGAUUGAAUGGUCCGGUGAAAUCUCGGGACGGCGGCUUGGUCGCUUGCGUCCGACUGCUGAAACUUGAUUAAACCAUAUCAUUUAGAGGAAGGUGAAGUCGUAACA
This 320-nucleotide ribosomal RNA is filed under the name uncultured eukaryote. Its description in RNAcentral is "partial 18S ribosomal RNA". It matches the Rfam family "Eukaryotic small subunit ribosomal RNA", at positions 1470 to 1796 of the family's 1831-position model. The record is from RNAcentral.